GCAUUGGUGGUGUAGCGGUAACAUUGGGUCUUCCCACUUGUUGAGUGGCCUAGCCCCGGGUUCGACUCCCGGCCAAUGCA
Lactarius indigo is the source of this 80-nucleotide non-coding RNA. Lineage: Eukaryota; Fungi; Basidiomycota; Agaricomycetes; Russulales; Russulaceae. The record is from the annotation of a GenBank genome assembly.